This is a long non-coding RNA of Scleropages formosus (Asian bonytongue), 2169 nucleotides long. The record is from Ensembl. Lineage: Eukaryota; Metazoa; Chordata; Actinopteri; Osteoglossiformes; Osteoglossidae.
CCCUCCUCCUGUGGGACUCGCUGAGCUGGACGGAGGAGUGAGAGAGAGAGAGGGAGAGAGAGUGUGAGUGAGUGCGGAGCACGAGCGAGGAGCAACUUCGGGACUCGAACUGAUAACUGAUGAACGGGCUCCAAACCGAGUGCCGCGCAGCGCGUUCACGCUCGACCGGAAGAGGACGUAUCCGCCCGUGAAACGAUGACUUUCUGAGCGCUUCGUCCUCCGCCUGGCGCUCGUGCCCGCGCAGCUCCCAGAAGACCUCGAUGAGCGAGCGCGCUGCCUGUCGCACGGCGUCUCGCGCAGCCAGUAUCUCGACUCGCGCAGCACCUCGCGCCGCGUCCCAGCGCGAUAAGAGAAGCGCGAUCUUCUCGCCCGGGGCAACAUGAUGAUGAUGAUGAUGAUGAAGAAGUUGAGGAGGUUCGUGCAUCGCGGAGCCGCGGCGGCCUGCUGCUAAUUAUAUCUAUGGAUACAUUAAUAGAUACGUGAUUAUAUGUCAAUAAAAUGUAUAAUAAAGUGUAGCGGAGGCGUCGAGCCUGAGGAUCCGUGUUUAUUUACCGCUCAAUGUUUCAUGUUCUAGGAUUUGUGUCCUUCUGCUGCUCGUGGCGGGAUCGGCGCACGGGGGUGCGAAGAACCAGGAGCCCUGUGCAGGAGUCGACUGCAGCCGGGGGUGCGUCUGUAACCCGGAGAAGGGCGCCGCGGGUCAGCCGGGGCCUCUGGGACCCCAGGGGGUGGAGGGACCCCAAGGGUUUGCGGGAAGUGCAGGACCCCAAGGGCCCAAGGGUGAAAAAGGCCAUAUGGGAAUCAGAGGUCCAUCUGGUCCCAAAGGAGACAAAGGUCCAAUGGGUGUGCCCGGUUUCCCAGGAGCGGAUGGCGUACCAGGCUACCCUGGACAGAGCGGAGGAAGAGGACCUAAAGGACCGGACGGGUGCAACGGCACCGCCGGCGACCCGGGUCCGAGGGCGCAGGACGGGUUCCCGGGCCGGCCGGGCCCGCCGGGUCCGAGGGGUCCGAAGGGUCAGAAAGGAGAAGCGGUCUAUGCGGGAAGUGGCCAAGGCGGGGAGCCUGGUUUACCAGGGCUGGACGGCCUCUUUGGUCCUCGUGGUCCAACUGGGCUUCCGGGUUUCGUUGGUCCCAGAGGUCCGGACGGCCUUGCUGGCUCAAGAGCCGGAGCAGGUAUUUGAAGCAGGACAGGUGUAACCGCUGUGGCCGCGUCUGACAGCUCGUACCUGAACGCAUCUCACCUUUCUUUUGGUCGCAGGGUCUCCCCGGUCCCCCCGGCCCUCCCGGCCCCACAGUAAGUACGGAUGCGAUAGGGGCUUUUCGAGGGGCGCUGGGGGGGUGGGGGUGGUCAUGGGGGGGUGGAGAUGUAGGCAGUGCAGUGCUGCCACAUCAUUGACUCCCCCUACUGGAGAGCCGGAAGAACAUCUGCUUGCUGGACAGUUACCUUCAUUUACCUCGGCUUCCCGUAAAAAUAAGUCUCUGAUAAGGUGCAUCGUAGUAAAAAGUAAUCCUGUACAUGUUUCAUAGUAUUUUGCUGUCUUGACCUAUUUAUUUGCUUGUUUUCACAGGGAAGCCCUGGUUCUCGUUUCAAAGGAGAGAGUGGAGAGAAGGUAACCGGCUCUAAAUGAGCUCUACAAAGCGUCACUAAUAUUUGUAUGAGAAACGGCGACGGUGAUGCUUCAUCUUGCGCUCAGGAUUGAGAAGGUAGGGACAGCGCUGGGUUUUUCGCUUUCGUUGAGUGAUGGAGCGACCCCAACAGAAUAUGAAAGAAAUAUAGCGAGGGAGUGAACGGAAGCGACGUAACUGUUUUCUGCACCGAGAGAGACCGAGACACGUGAGACACGUGAGACGCGUCCGGGUCCCUUCUGGCGCUUUGUGCACGACUGCCUGUCCAGCACCGGUUCCUUACAGCCACAGCUUCAGAGCAGCAGCGCGAGCCGCACGUGCUUCUCUCUGUCCGUUUCCAAAGUCCCGCUUGUCCUGCGUUCCCAGUCACGUCGUCACUGUGUUCCAGGGGGACCCCGGUCAGCCAGGACCCCCGGGACUGCAAGGGCAACAGACGCUAGCAGGGGCGCCGGAAAGCACCAUCCUCAAAGGACCCAAGGUAAGCAGACGGCGAGUCUGUGCAUCGUGGCCACAGGUGGGAGGAGCGAAAUGACAGCCAGGGCACCG